UACGAAGGGGGCUAGCGUUGCUCGGAAUCACUGGGCGUAAAGCGCACGUAGGCGGCUUUUUAAGUCAGGGGUGAAAUCCUGGAGCUCAACUCCAGAACUGCCUUCGAUACUGGCGAUCUCGAGUUCGGGAGAGGUGAGUGGAACUGCGAGUGUAGAGGUGAAAUUCGUAGAUAUUCGCAAGAACACCAGUGGCGAAGGCGGCUCACUGGCCCGAUACUGACGCUGAGGUGCGAAAGCGUGGGGAGCAAACAGGG
RNAcentral lists this ribosomal RNA (254 nucleotides) under uncultured bacterium. RNAcentral's name for it is "partial 16S ribosomal RNA". It matches the Rfam family "Bacterial small subunit ribosomal RNA", at positions 524 to 777 of the family's 1533-position model. The record is from RNAcentral.